This 843-nucleotide ribosomal RNA is filed under the name uncultured bacterium. RNAcentral's name for it is "bacterial SSU rRNA". It matches the Rfam family "Bacterial small subunit ribosomal RNA", at positions 561 to 1398 of the family's 1533-position model. The record is from RNAcentral.
UAAAGGGCGCGUAGGCGGGAUGGCAAGUCGGUCGUGAAAUCUCUCGGCUCAACCGAGAAACGUCGGCCGAUACUGCCGUUCUUGAGGGAUGCAGAGGAGACUGGAAUUCCCGGUGUAGCGGUGAAAUGUGUAGAGAUCGGGAGGAACACCGGUGGCGAAGGCGGGUCUCUGGGCAUUUCCUGACGCUGAGGCGCGAAAGCGUGGGGAGCAAACGGGAUUAGAUACCCCGGUAGUCCACGCUGUAAACGAUGACGACUAGGUGUGGGGUGGUUCAGUCCAUUCCGUGCCGCAGCUAACGCAUUAAGUCGUCCGCCUGGGGAGUACGGCCGCAAGGUUGAAACUCAAAGGAAUUGACGGGGGCCCGCACAAGCGGUGGAGCAUGUGGUUCAAUUCGAUGCAGAGCGAAGAACCUUACCUGGGCUUGACAUGUAGGAAGUAGAAACCCGAAAGGGCGACGACCUGUUAAGUCAGGAGCCUACACAGGUGGUGCAUGGCUGUCAUCAGCUCGUGCCGUGAGGUGUUGGGUUAAGUCCCGCAACGAGCGCAACCCUUACCCUAUGUUGCCAACGGUUCGGCCGGGCACUCUUAGGGGACUGCCGGCGAAGAGCUGGAGGAAGGGGGGGAUGACGUCAAGUCCGUAUGCCCCUUAUGUCCAGGGCUACACACAUGCUACAAUGCGCGGUACAGAGGGUUGCCAACUCGCAAGAGGGAGCCAAUCCCCCAAAGCCGCGCUCAGUUCGGAUUGCAGGCUGCAACUCGCCUGCAUGAAGUCGGAAUCGCUAGUAAGCGCAGAUCAGCAGGCUGCGCUGAAUACGUUCCCGGGCCUUGUACACACCGCCCGUA